RNAcentral lists this long non-coding RNA (228 nucleotides) under Phaseolus vulgaris (common bean). RNAcentral describes it as "long non-coding RNA (PVUL_LNC001588)". The record is from RNAcentral. Lineage: Eukaryota; Viridiplantae; Streptophyta; Magnoliopsida; Fabales; Fabaceae.
AUUAAUGGAGGUUUAACAGUUAUGUGAAAGAUCUUGUAUUCAUAUCCGUUUGAUGGAGUGUGAUCUAGCGGUGGUGGUUUCGUGUCGUUUCCUAUCUCGAAUAUUGAUAACUCCUAUGAAUAGAGUUAUUUCAAUUGUGGUCCACACCUUUAUUUUUGUAUCUUCCAAGUACCGACAAAUAUUCUUGAGUUUUCGGUAAUGUCUUCCUCUAGCUCUAUCUCCUUGUCG